GAGCAGUGCGAGUGGCUCGGCGGACUCAUAAUCCGUCGGCCGUGGGUUCGAGUCCCAC
Molecule: transfer RNA, 58 nt
Filed under: Streptomyces sp. di188
Lineage: Bacteria; Bacillati; Actinomycetota; Actinomycetes; Kitasatosporales; Streptomycetaceae
Also listed under: 1 other name
Description: tRNA_Met_CAT
Rfam family: tRNA
About the family: Transfer RNA (tRNA) molecules are approximately 80 nucleotides in length.
Source: RNAcentral